RNAcentral lists this ribosomal RNA (387 nucleotides) under uncultured Prorocentrum. RNAcentral's name for it is "partial small subunit ribosomal RNA". It matches the Rfam family "Eukaryotic small subunit ribosomal RNA", at positions 30 to 432 of the family's 1831-position model. Lineage: Eukaryota; Dinophyceae; Prorocentrales; Prorocentraceae. The record is from RNAcentral.
GCUUGUCUCAAAGAUUAAGCCAUGCAUGUCUAAGUAUAAGCCUUUGUACGGCGAAACUGCGAAUGGCUCAUUAAAACAGUUAUAGUUUAUUCGAUAAUCAAUUGCUACAUGGAUAACUGUAGUAAUUCUAGAGCUAAUACAUGCGUCAAAACCCAACUUUACGGAAGGGUCGUGUUUAUUAGAUACAAAACCAGCAUCUCGUUGGUGAGUCAUAAUAACCAAGCGAAUCGUCGGUUUACCGACGAUAGAUCGUUCAAGUUUCUGACCUAUCAGCUUUGGAUGGUAGGGUAUUGGCCUACCAUGGCUUUAACGGGUAACGGAGAAUUAGGGUUCGAUUCCGGAGAGGGAGCCUGAGAAAUGGCUACCACAUCCAAGGAAGGCAGCAGG